This 1481-nucleotide ribosomal RNA is filed under the name Escherichia coli. RNAcentral's name for it is "bacterial SSU rRNA". It matches the Rfam family "Bacterial small subunit ribosomal RNA". Lineage: Bacteria; Pseudomonadati; Pseudomonadota; Gammaproteobacteria; Enterobacterales; Enterobacteriaceae. The record is from RNAcentral.
GCUCUUUAACAAUUUAUCAGACAAUCUGUGUGGGCACUCGAAGAUACGGAUUCUUAACGUCGCAAGACGAAAAAUGAAUACCAAGUCUCAAGAGUGAACACGUAAUUCAUUACGAAGUUUAAUUCUUUGAGCNGGGAUAACUACUGGAAACGGUAGCUAAUACCGCAUAACGUCGCAAGACCAAAGAGGGGGACCUUCGGGCCUCUUGCCAUCGGAUGUGCCCAGAUGGGAUUAGCUAGUAGGUGGGGUAACGGCUCACCUAGGCGACGAUCCCUAGCUGGUCUGAGAGGAUGACCAGCCACACUGGAACUGAGACACGGUCCAGACUCCUACGGGAGGCAGCAGUGGGGAAUAUUGCACAAUGGGCGCAAGCCUGAUGCAGCCAUGCCGCGUGUAUGAAGAAGGCCUUCGGGUUGUAAAGUACUUUCAGCGGGGAGGAAGGGAGUAAAGUUAAUACCUUUGCUCAUUGACGUUACCCGCAGAAGAAGCACCGGCUAACUCCGUGCCAGCAGCCGCGGUAAUACGGAGGGUGCAAGCGUUAAUCGGAAUUACUGGGCGUAAAGCGCACGCAGGCGGUUUGUUAAGUCAGAUGUGAAAUCCCCGGGCUCAACCUGGGAACUGCAUCUGAUACUGGCAAGCUUGAGUCUCGUAGAGGGGGGUAGAAUUCCAGGUGUAGCGGUGAAAUGCGUAGAGAUCUGGAGGAAUACCGGUGGCGAAGGCGGCCCCCUGGACGAAGACUGACGCUCAGGUGCGAAAGCGUGGGGAGCAAACAGGAUUAGAUCCCCUGGUAGUCCACGCCGUAAACGAUGUCGACUUGGAGGUUGUGCCCUUGAGGCGUGGCUUCCGGAGCUAACGCGUUAAGUCGACCGCCUGGGGAGUACGGCCGCAAGGUUAAAACUCAAAUGAAUUGACGGGGGCCCGCACAAGCGGUGGAGCAUGUGGUUUAAUUCGAUGCAACGCGAAGAACCUUACCUGGUCUUGACAUCCACNGUGAGACAGGUGCUGCAUGGCUGUCGUCAGCUCGUGUUGUGAAAUGUUGGGUUAAGUCCCGCAACGAGCGCAACCCUUAUCCUUUGUUGCCAGCGGUCCGGCCGGGAACUCAAAGGAGACUGCCAGUGAUAAACUGGAGGAAGGUGGGGAUGACGUCAAGUCAUCAUGGCCCUUACGACCAGGGCUACACACGUGCUACAAUGGCGCAUACAAAGAGAAGCGACCUCGCGAGAGCAAGCGGACCUCAUAAAGUGCGUCGUAGUCCGGAUUGGAGUCUGCAACUCGAUUCCAUGAAGUCGGAAUCGCUAGUAAUCGUGGAUCAGAAUGCCACGGUGAAUACGUUCCCGGGCCUUGUACACACCGCCCGUCACACCAUGGGAGUGGGUUGCAAAAGAAGUAGGUAGCUUAACCUUCGGGAGGGCGCUUACCACUUUGUGAUUCAUGACUGGGGUGAAGUCGUAACAAGGUAACCGUAGGGGAACCUGCGGUUG